Pipistrellus kuhlii (Kuhl's pipistrelle) is the source of this 1117-nucleotide long non-coding RNA. RefSeq lists it as uncharacterized. The record is from RefSeq and is a predicted model, not a curated record. The transcript has 2 exons. NCBI's taxonomy places the organism in Eukaryota, Metazoa, Chordata, Mammalia, Chiroptera, Vespertilionidae.
UGUAAAAGUUCGUAGAAUCUAAAGGCAAUUGUAACUUAGCCGUGUCUCCCUUACACACCGAGACUUCAGAAUCAAGUCCUGUAGCAGGGACCAUGCUAACCAGAAGAUGAAAUCUGACCUAAGCUUUGCCAGAUGUAGGUUUAUUGACCUUGAGCAGGUCAGUUUACCCCUCUGGGCUUUAAUUUACACAUGUAUAAAAGACGGGGCGGAACUUGGUAUCUAUAAGGGUGUUCCAGAAAUUGGGGCCACCUCGUCACAAGCAGGCCCCACCCAAACCAGAGAGGCCAUGACUGUCAGAUCGCUUUUAAUGAGUGGAUUCUGCAGUCUAAAUAUAUUCUUCCUUAGUUUUCCUUUUAACUAGUUAAAUUACACAGCCUGCAUUCAGUUCUGUCAUUUAUUACCUGCAUGACAUUGAGCAAGUUUGCUUAUUCUCUCUGGCUUCCACGGCCAAAAAGAGAGGACAAUGGUAAUUGCUAUGAGGAUUAACUGGAUGGAUGAGGCACUGAGAACUAUGUCUGGCACCCAGUAAGUGUUGCUCAAAUAUUUUAAGGUACUAAAUGAUGUAUCUUUACAAUUUCCUUCACAUAAUCUUUACUAUGUUUUUAAAAGAUUUUUAGUGCUUAGAGAAAUGCAUCAAAUAUUAUUUUUAAAAAUGUUUUGUUUCAAAACAGACCUAGAAAUGCAAGGUUUACCUUGAAAAGGUGUCAACAUAUGCAAGUCCCUUAACAAAUUUAAAUACAACCAAACUCACAUGCUAGAAAAUGGCUUAUAUCUAUGAAUAGAUAGGAUAGCUCUGCCAAGACUUGGAAACUGAUUGUUUUUUACUGACAUCUAAAAUAAUUGUCCUUCCAGCUGAGCAAGCAGGGAAGUAAUUCAAAUAGAAGUGAUCUCACUGCAGAGCUUUUGAUUUUGAGUUUUGUUUUUUAACAGUUAGCCUCCAGACCUGUUCUUAUUAGGCUGACAAAUGAUAAUCCUCUGUUCCCACUUCAAUGUUUCAGGAAAAAACUCUUUAAAAUUAUUUUAGGGUUGAAUCCUUUGUAGGGAGUUCUGAUGGACAACAAGCAUGUGACAGGCCAGACCGAGGUGGUAUGAUGAGUUGGGAGGGAGUGCAGUUAGA